This 92-nucleotide non-coding RNA is filed under the name uncultured Ruminococcus sp. Its description in RNAcentral is "SAM riboswitch (S box leader)". It matches the Rfam family "SAM riboswitch aptamer (S box leader)". Rfam says of the family: The SAM riboswitch is found upstream of a number of genes which code for proteins involved in methionine or cysteine biosynthesis in Gram-positive bacteria. The SAM riboswitch acts at the level of transcription termination control. The record is from RNAcentral. Lineage: Bacteria; Bacillati; Bacillota; Clostridia; Eubacteriales; Oscillospiraceae.
CUUAUCGAGAGUGACGGAGGGAACAGGCCCUUUGAAGUCCGGCAACCUGCAUUGCAAGGUGCUAAAUCCUGCGGUAUUAACCGAAAGAUGAG